RNAcentral lists this ribosomal RNA (759 nucleotides) under Triticum aestivum (bread wheat). RNAcentral describes it as "partial small subunit ribosomal RNA". Lineage: Eukaryota; Viridiplantae; Streptophyta; Magnoliopsida; Poales; Poaceae. The record is from RNAcentral.
AUGAAUCUCUUUAGCUGGAACUGUCGGGGAGGGGGGAAUACUUGGACAGUUCAUGAACUAGCGACACUUGCUCAGUCGCAUUCCCCCAUGAUUGUUUUUUUGUGUGAAACGAGACAGAAAGAGAGUAAAAUGAAGAGAAUUCGUGGUCGGAUUGGCUUGAAGGGUUUUACGGGAGUGGACAGCGAAGGGCUGAGCGGUGGACUUGCUCUGUCUUGGCAUGAAGCUUUUUCUGUUACAAUUUUGGAUAAGGACGAUCGUUACAUUGACCUAAUUAUUAAAGAGCAUGAGGAUGCAGAGCAAUGGCGUCUCACUUGUGUGUACGGUGAGCCACGCGUUGAGAACCGUCACUUCAUGUGGACUAAACUACAGAAUUUGAAACCAGUAAGUGACCUCCCGUGGCUGGUUAUAGGUGAUUUUAAUGAGGCACUAUGGAGUUUUGAACAUAUGUCGGUAACACCAAGAGCGGAAGCGCAGAUGGUAGCAUUCCGUGAUGUGCUGGAAGUGUGUGAAUUAGUGGAUCUUGGCUUCUCGAGAAUUCCUUAUACAUGUGAUAAUAUGAGAUCUGGGGCUGCUAAUGUCAAAGUUCGGUUGCUUCGUGGAGAAAUUUGUUUGCGUUUUCUUCAGUGCAGCAUGUCCCGUCUCCAUGUUCAGAUCAUGUUGCAUUGCUGCUUAAGAGUACGGCUGAUCCAGGACCGACGGGAAGCAGAAGUCAUAGAUACGAGGUGUUCUGGGAAAGGGACGAAGGUCUCCCUGAGGUAA